Molecule: transfer RNA, 54 nt
Filed under: Angiostrongylus costaricensis
Lineage: Eukaryota; Metazoa; Nematoda; Chromadorea; Rhabditida; Metastrongylidae
Description: tRNA-Ile
Source: RNAcentral
UCAUCUGUAGUAAAAGAAUUAUAUUAUCUUGAUAAGGUAAAGUUUAUAGAUGGA